GUGCUUUCCUCCCCACUUUCUUUUUUUCUCCAAAGGAAAUAUCAUAAGCUCUUUUAGAAAUACUCACAGGAAGUGAGUAUCCAUAUGCUGGUUACUCGCCGGCAGCUGAGCGUUGACAGGUGGAGAAGUGUUGCUGCCAUCGCUCAGAUUUCUUUGAACCUUUGCGCCGGAGCAGGGGAAUAUUCAGGGCGUACAGACCGAAGGAUUUUUGUGUACUGAGAGAGUUACAAGAGGAAAUUGGUCAUCGCGCGUCAUCUUGGUGGUGGUGAUUCAGGAAGCUGUGAUGGGGGGUCUGCAAGGCACGUGGCUGCCGCCGGCGCUGAGGUUUCUGCUCACUUCUCAGAGGGCGGGCUGUCUUCUAAAAAUUAACGCUCCCUCCACUGCCAGUGAUUCUUCUGCAGUGAGUCACUUCCAGAAAUGAAUAGCCACGGUUUUUUUUUGGAAUGAAUGUUGUGAAAUCCCUCGUUUAUAAUGGCAGGUUUUCAGUUGGUGGUUUUAUCAGAGAGAAUGUCUCAAGAUCAAAACGAAACCUCCUCUUUAAAAGGAAAGAAAGUACUCUCGAUACAGAAAGCAAAAGUACUUCCAGUCUCCUCCUGACGCGCUGUCGCGGAAGGUCUGUGUGCCUGCGUGUGGCGACACACGCCCGAGUAUUAGUACUUGCCUACACUGUAGGAGUCCUUGGAAUUACGGAUUCGUUGCUAGUAGCUGAUUGAUCUCCUGUGAAGAAGGUCGCUAACUACAAGAAAUGUUACGUGUGGUGAGUAGGUGGUGGAUUCUGAAGAUUGUUGCUAACCCAGGGCUCAUCCUCUUUUGAGUCAUGGAUUCAGAGGACUGCUAGCAAGCUCUUAAAUACUUCUGCUUUGUAUGAUUUAGUGGAUGGAACUGCAGGACUCAUAGAAGCCUGUGAAAGGUUUUCAGAACAUGGAUUAAUUGAAUAAUCGUUGAAUCUUUUGAAUAUACUAGUCCCUUUGAGGAAGAAAGGCUAUUUUACUGACGGAAGCCAUUUGUAAGGGGCUUUUAAAAGUUUAAAAAGCCCAGUUACUGCAGUUACUGCCCAUCUGUAUUUAUUUUAACUAUCACUCCCAUCUUCUUGUGUGAAGGAAAUGACUAUAUGGUUUCAACAAAGAAAAAGUUUUGCCAACUCUUUUUAACUGAAGAAACUUCAUCCACGUGUUACUCCUAACUGGAUUUUUGUCUUCCUGACUAUCUGCAAGGGGAAACUACCCCAU
RNAcentral lists this long non-coding RNA (1229 nucleotides) under Bos taurus (domestic cattle). RNAcentral's name for it is "long non-coding RNA NONBTAT020143". The record is from RNAcentral. Lineage: Eukaryota; Metazoa; Chordata; Mammalia; Artiodactyla; Bovidae.